UGUGGAAAGAUGUGGUUCUUUCACCAUUCACCUUGUGGUCUUCUCUCACGUGUUGGAUAUCUUCUUUCAUGCAAAGAAGAUGAACCUUCUUGCACCACUUGCUGCCUUGUAUGACUCAUGGAGUGCUUUCUCUUACUCAUUUGUUGGUAUUCUUCAUCUUCAUUCUCUUCAUUCUCCUUGUUGUAUCUUGCUGGAAUUGAAGUCUUCAUAGUAUUGGGCUCUUCUAU
This 227-nucleotide long non-coding RNA is filed under the name Physcomitrium patens. RNAcentral describes it as "long non-coding RNA (PPAT_LNC000515)". Lineage: Eukaryota; Viridiplantae; Streptophyta; Bryopsida; Funariales; Funariaceae. The record is from RNAcentral.